Molecule: ribosomal RNA, 88 nt
Filed under: Bacillus subtilis
Lineage: Bacteria; Bacillati; Bacillota; Bacilli; Caryophanales; Bacillaceae
Also listed under: 1 other name
Source: RNAcentral
UUUGGUGGCGAUAGCGAAGAGGUCACACCCGUUCCCAUACCGAACACGGAAGUUAAGCUCUUCAGCGCCGAUGGUAGUCGGGGGUUUC